CAUAUCAAUAAGCGGAGGAAAAGAAACUAACAAGGAUUUCCCCUAGUAACUGCGAGUGAAGCGGGAAAAGCUCAAAUUUAAAAUCUGGCGGUCUUUGGCUGUCCGAGUUGUAAUCUAGAGAAGUGUUAUCCGCGCUGGACCGUGUACAAGUCUCCUGGAAUGGAGCGUCAUAGAGGGUGAGAAUCCCGUCUUUGACACGGACUGCCAGGGCUUUGUGAUGCGCUCUCAAAGAGUCGAGUUGUUUGGGAAUGCAGCUCAAAAUGGGUGGUAAAUUCCAUCUAAAGCUAAAUAUUGGCGAGAGACCGAUAGCGAACAAGUACCGUGAGGGAAAGAUGAAAAGAACUUUGGAAAGAGAGUUAAACAGUACGUGAAAUUGCUGAAAGGGAAACGCUUGAAGUCAGUCGCGUUGUCCAGGGAUCAACCUUGCUUUUGCUUGGUGCACUUUCUGGUUGACGGGUCAGCAUCAAUUUUGACUAUUGGAAAAAGAUUAGGGGAAUGUGGCAUCUUCGGAUGUGUUAUAGCCCUUGGUUGCAUACAAUGGUUGGGAUUGAGGAACUCAGCACGCCGCAAGGCCGGGUUUUAACCACGUACGUGCUUAGGAUGCUGGCAUAAUGGCUUUAAUCGACCCGUCUUGAAACACGGACCAAGGAGUCUAACAUGCCUGCGAGUGUUUGGGUGGAAAACCCGAGCGCGUAAUGAAAGUGAAAGUUGAGAUCCCUGUCGUGGGGAGCAUCGACGCCCGGACCAGACCUUUUGUGACGGUUCCGCGGUAGAGCAUGUAUGUUGGGACCCGAAAGAUGGUGAACUAUGCCUGAAUAGGGUGAAGCCAGAGGAAACUCUGGUGGAGGCUCGUAGCGAUUCUGACGUGCAAAUCGAUCGUCAAAUUUGGGUAUAGGGGCGAAAGACUAAUCGAACCAUCUAGUAGCUG
RNAcentral lists this ribosomal RNA (928 nucleotides) under Cortinarius orixanthus. Its description in RNAcentral is "partial large subunit ribosomal RNA". It matches the Rfam family "Eukaryotic large subunit ribosomal RNA", at positions 39 to 953 of the family's 3401-position model. The record is from RNAcentral. Lineage: Eukaryota; Fungi; Basidiomycota; Agaricomycetes; Agaricales; Cortinariaceae.